CACUGUGAGUCUUAUAAAUUGCUUACAUACCUCACCGAUUUCUGCAUGUCUGGAAAACGCUCGGUUUAGUUCCUGUCUCCGCCUCCCAAAAUGUCUAGUGUAUUCGGAUUGGUCAGAUGACUACUCAACUGUUAUUGGUCAACUGGGUUCGGCGUGUGUUUGAAAGGUUACGCCCCUGACUACGCGUGGAUUUUCCGGUUCUGACUGAGAGUCACAGGCAACGUAAACAAGCGCUAUAUUUCUCUAUAAACGAUGGUGUCUGUACUGCCUUACCACUUCAAGCUCGAUCCAGAGAGUUCAGACGGCCGUUACGAUAUAAACGAUCUCCGUCAAUGAACGCGAUUGGAUUUAACUUUUUUAGGUGUCCUUAGCUCUGCCAGAAUGCUAAACGAAGACGAAAAUGUGUUGCAAAGACAUCCAAAAGGUUUUAAGGAGAAUGCAACAGGUUCCAGGGCCUCUUACCUGCGUGAUUCAUCAUCCAGGUUUUGCACAAAUUGUCUAAAUCCCUACACACAGAACAUUUAUUGUACCGACUAUAAGCCUUUGAGGUGCAGGACUAGAAUACGCUUGGAGCUUCCUGAUCAGAUCGGUCACAAUUUUGGCUUUCGACGACCCCUGCACUGAAGAUGGCAUGCAAUCACGUCCUCCUUUGAAGGUCUCUCAAACUGUGAUGCCAGG
Long non-coding RNA from Paramisgurnus dabryanus, 678 nucleotides. RefSeq lists it as uncharacterized. The record is from RefSeq and is a predicted model, not a curated record. Lineage: Eukaryota; Metazoa; Chordata; Actinopteri; Cypriniformes; Cobitidae.